Molecule: long non-coding RNA, 236 nt
Organism: Electrophorus electricus (electric eel)
Lineage: Eukaryota; Metazoa; Chordata; Actinopteri; Gymnotiformes; Gymnotidae
Source: RefSeq, a predicted model, not a curated record
AAUCACUAACAUGCAUCUUUCUCUGACAACACGCCAAGUUGUCUGCCUGUUUUGUUUUGUGACAAUUCUGUCGAGGUGUGUUCUUGGAGUGCUCUCUUGGGAUGGCAAAGUUUCAACAUGCUGUACUCGCACCAACCGUGCUCAAAUUAAGGGCGCUAUUGUAAAAUGUGCACAUAUUCCUGCAAGACAUAAGUGCCUUGAGGCUUAUGUGUUUAUAAUGGAGAAUGGAAGAGCAC